RNAcentral lists this small RNA (132 nucleotides) under Salmonella enterica. RNAcentral's name for it is "RtT sRNA". It matches the Rfam family "RtT RNA". From Rfam's summary of the family: This family represents a bacterial cis-regulatory element known as RtT RNA. The exact function of RtT is unknown although it is thought that it may be involved in changing the cellular response in relation to amino acid starvation. The record is from RNAcentral. Lineage: Bacteria; Pseudomonadati; Pseudomonadota; Gammaproteobacteria; Enterobacterales; Enterobacteriaceae.
GUUUGCACUUGUCGGGGAAGGGUGAGAACCUUCGAUUAAGGUUCGACUCGAGCGAAAGCGAGAGAACGUUGCCAACGGCAACGGCCCAUAGGGUGAGGAGCGAAGCGACGAAUAAUCCUUCCCCCACCACCA